This 28-nucleotide small RNA is filed under the name Bombyx mori (domestic silkworm). RNAcentral describes it as "piRNA piR-bmo-1886509". The record is from RNAcentral. Lineage: Eukaryota; Metazoa; Arthropoda; Insecta; Lepidoptera; Bombycidae.
UUACCGGAAACAUCGAGGCGGGGCUCGC